AGCAGUCGCCGCGGUAAAACGUAGGGCGCGAGCGUUGUCCGGAAUUAUUGGGCGUAAAGAGCUUGUAGGCGGUUGGUCGCGUCUGCUGUGAAAGGCUGGGGCUUAACCCUGGUUUUGCAGUGGGUACGGGCUAACUAGAGUGCAGUAGGGGAGACUGGAAUUCCUGGUGUAGCGGUGGAAUGCGCAGAUAUCAGGAGGAACACCGAUGGCGAAGGCAGGUCUCUGGGCAGUAACUGACGCUGAGGAGCGAAAGCAUGGGGAGCGAACAGGAUUAGAUACCCCCGUAGUCCCUGUCUCUUAUAC
RNAcentral lists this ribosomal RNA (303 nucleotides) under uncultured bacterium. RNAcentral's name for it is "partial 16S ribosomal RNA". It matches the Rfam family "Bacterial small subunit ribosomal RNA", at positions 507 to 807 of the family's 1533-position model. The record is from RNAcentral.